UAGGGAAUAUUGCACAAUGGGCGAGAGCCUGAUGCAGCAACGCCGCGUGCGCGAUGAAGGCCCUCGGGUCGUAAAGCGCUUUUCUGCGAGAUGAGAAAGGACAGUAUCGCAGGAAUAAGUCUCGGCUAACUACGUGCCAGCAGCCGCGGUAAAACGUAGGAGGCGAGCGUUAUCCGGAUUCACUGGGCGUAAAGCGCGUGCAGGUGGUUUGGUAAGUUGGGCGUGAAAGCUCCCGGCUCAACUGGGAGAGGUCGUUCAAUACUAUCAGGCUAGAGAGCAGAAGAGGAAGAUGGAAUUCCCGGCGUAGUGGUGAAAUAGCGUAGAUAUCGGGAGGAACGACCAGUAGGCGAAGGCGGAGUCUUCUGGUCUGUUUUCUGACACUCAGACGCGACAGCUAGGGUAGUAAAACGGGGAUUAGAAACCCCGUGUAG
This 431-nucleotide ribosomal RNA is filed under the name uncultured bacterium. Its description in RNAcentral is "bacterial SSU rRNA". It matches the Rfam family "Bacterial small subunit ribosomal RNA", at positions 355 to 793 of the family's 1533-position model. The record is from RNAcentral.